AUUGAAUUCACAUUACAUCUAUCAACACAGAACUUUAGAAAGGUUACAUUUUUGAAUGAACUGCAGCAGUGGAAGGAUGCCUGCCGAGGUGUUUUGGUUCAUGCAACAAUUGAUCUUAAAUCCUAUGGAUCCGACGCUUUCGUCUGACUGCAGGU
Notolabrus celidotus (New Zealand spotty) is the source of this 155-nucleotide long non-coding RNA. RefSeq lists it as uncharacterized. The transcript is spliced from 3 exons. The record is from RefSeq and is a predicted model, not a curated record. NCBI's taxonomy places the organism in Eukaryota, Metazoa, Chordata, Actinopteri, Labriformes, Labridae.